Long non-coding RNA from Oncorhynchus tshawytscha (Chinook salmon), 2268 nucleotides. The record is from Ensembl. Lineage: Eukaryota; Metazoa; Chordata; Actinopteri; Salmoniformes; Salmonidae.
GUCAGUACCUUAUUCAAUGUCCAGGGUACUGGAGUGGUUGUAUAUACAGGUCAGUUCCUUAUUCAAUGUCCUGGAGGGGUGGAGGUGGGUUUAUACAUAAAAAGUGAUUGGUGGGGGGCCUCCCGGGUGGCACAGUGGUUAAGGGCGUAAAAUAAAAUACAUUUUAAAAAGUGAUUGGACGUAGGAUGCACAUAAACAUGGCUGAAAGGUGACUGGUUGGUAGCAGGAAUAUAUACAUAUUUAUGAUAAUAUAUUAACGGGAACAUAGUGAUAUUUAUUAUAAUCUGCAACAUUUCAACUUCUAAAAUACAUAGAGUCCUUGUAAUUUACAGCAUCGCUCAGUCAACAAAACAUUUGCUAAAGUUGCCCAAUUAGCGGGAGGGCUGGGGGAAAGAUCUGUGUCGCACACAGUGCUCAAGUCUAUGACGUCUGUCAGUCAAAACCCCGGCACAGGGUAUGUUACUGUAUAGCAUGUUACUGUAUAGCAUGUUACUGUAUAGCAUGUUACUGUAUAGCAUGUUACUGUAUAGCAAAGUUGGGUCGAAGCUCUGAAGACGACAGCAUUACGGUACGGCGCCAUCUUAUGGAAAACAUGGACACUGUUACAGGAGAAUAGAUUGGAUCGCAGCGGCUUUCCGCCGUGGGAAAACCAGAUGAUCUGAGAUGCAAAAUCCCAUCUAAAGUCAAGAAUCCAGUGGCUUGAUUUAUUAAAACUAAAAGUUUUUAUUUGUAAAAUUCAAAAUAAUACAUUCAGAUAAUAACAAAGGUUCCAAUAUUCAAAACAUGUGUGCCUUCACAGUAUCUCAAGCAUUUGCCCUAACCAGCAAGCCUUACUUCCUGUCUCUAAAUUCCCAAUUUACAUAUCUGGGCGGGCCCGCCAGUAUUUCUAACUGUUUCUGGCUAGAGGGCGUAAUUGACCGUUUCGCAUUUAAAUCAAAAGACCACAUAACCAAAUUAAUGUAUACACCUUAUAUAGAAUCGAAAUGAUUCUAAAUGGUGCAAUAUGACCUAAUAAACAGAUAUUUGCAUAACCAAAGAAAGAUAGAAACUGGCUCCAACAGGGGAAGAAAGAGAAGAUGGGAAUGUGCCCUGUUUCUUUGUUUGUUGUAAUUUACAACUUCAUAUAAAGCUUGGAAAUGAAAGCUUGAGAGUUAAACUGAACUGCUUCAGCAAAGACUCAUGGGAAAGGAGAAAGGAGGAGUGUGUUGGUCUGGAAAUAACAGCUGAUUAGAAAGGUUGAGAAUGAGAUUCAAAUGCAGGUUGUGUCAGUGGCCCUGCGCUACCAAAGGUUUUAAACUGGAUAUGAUCUACUAUGAAACUGAACUGCUAUAGCAAAGGAAUCCAAGCUGGACAAUUACCUAACAGCUAGUCUCUCGUGUCAUGACAGACUUCUAGGUUCCGAGACGACAGCCUUCUAGGUUCCGAGGUGACAGACUUCUAGGUUCCGAGACGACAGACUUCUAGGUUCCGAGAUGACAGACUUCUAGGUUCCGAGACGACAGACUUCUAGGUUCCGAGAUGACAGACUUCUAGGUUCCGAGACGACAGCCUUCUAGGUUCCGAGGUGACAGACUUCUAGGUUCCGAGACGACAGCCUUCUAGGUUCCGAGGUGACAGACUUCUAGGUUCCGAGACGACAGCCUUCCAAGAUUAGCCUUCAGAGUCUUAAAACGACAUUGUAUUUAUAAUACUGAGUCAUCAUGUUUGUUGCUUUGCAUUGCAUUCAAAUUGAAGGCUUGAAUUCUUGAUUUGCCUCUAGAAUAAACGUGGGAGUUUUAUACCAUGCCAUGGUUUUACAGCUGCUGUCUUGCCAUUGUAAUAAUAUAGCUCGUAAAUAAUUACAAUAUCAUCAUUCAAAAAUAAUCUCUUUUUAUAUGUGGUUAUUUACAGUAAUUUAUUAGCUUCAAUAGAAACAUGGGCUUCCCACAUUAUGUUAAAGAAGAACAUAAUGCCCUGCAUCUAAAUAUACUUGUAUGUUAUAUGGGUAUCUGACAUUCAUUCAAUGGAAAAUGAAGAAAUAAUAAGAUAUUGUCAAGGAAAUGUAUAGUCUUUCAUUUGUCCUGUCUAGAUAGGAAUAUCACAAGCAAAUCAGGUAUGUCUAUGGUGCAGUGUAUGUUACGCAUGAACGUGUAUACUUUGUUAGACAAUUCUGUGCAUUAUCUGUACUGCCUACUAAUGCUAUACUGUACAUCCUGAAAAGAUAAGCUACUGAGGAUUAGCUCCUGCAUUCACCACCCAUGAGUGGUCUAGCUAUAAUGUUUGUUCCCG